Molecule: ribosomal RNA, 2930 nt
Filed under: Bacillus thuringiensis
Lineage: Bacteria; Bacillati; Bacillota; Bacilli; Caryophanales; Bacillaceae
Description: 23S ribosomal RNA
Rfam family: Bacterial large subunit ribosomal RNA
Source: RNAcentral
UUUGGUUAAGUUAGAAAGGGCGCACGGUGGAUGCCUUGACACUAGGAGUCGAUGAAGGACGGGACUAACGCCGAUAUGCUUCGGGGAGCUGUAAGUAAGCUUUGAUCCGAAGAUUUCCGAAUGGGGAAACCCACCAUACGUAAUGGUAUGGUAUCCUUAUCUGAAUACAUAGGGUAAGGAAGACAGACCCAGGGAACUGAAACAUCUAAGUACCUGGAGGAAGAGAAAGCAAAUGCGAUUUCCUGAGUAGCGGCGAGCGAAACGGAACAUAGCCCAAACCAAGAGGCUUGCCUCUUGGGGUUGUAGGACAUUCUAUACGGAGUUACAAAGGAACGAGGUAGACGAAGCGACCUGGAAAGGUCCGUCGUAGAGGGUAACAACCCCGUAGUCGAAACUUCGUUCUCUCUUGAAUGUAUCCUGAGUACGGCGGAACACGUGAAAUUCCGUCGGAAUCUGGGAGGACCAUCUCCCAAGGCUAAAUACUCCCUAGUGAUCGAUAGUGAACCAGUACCGUGAGGGAAAGGUGAAAAGCACCCCGGAAGGGGAGUGAAAGAGAUCCUGAAACCGUGUGCCUACAAAUAGUCAGAGCCCGUUAACGGGUGAUGGCGUGCCUUUUGUAGAAUGAACCGGCGAGUUACGAUCCCGUGCGAGGUUAAGCUGAAGAGGCGGAGCCGCAGCGAAAGCGAGUCUGAAUAGGGCGUUUAGUACGUGGUCGUAGACCCGAAACCCAGGUGAUCUACCCAUGUCCAGGGUGAAGUUCAGGUAACACUGAAUGGAGGCCCGAACCCACGCACGUUGAAAAGUGCGGGGAUGAGGUGUGGGUAGCGGAGAAAUUCCAAUCGAACCUGGAGAUAGCUGGUUCUCCCCGAAAUAGCUUUAGGGCUAGCCUUAAGUGUAAGAGUCUUGGAGGUAGAGCACUGAUUGGACUAGGGGUCCUCAUCGGAUUACCGAAUUCAGUCAAACUCCGAAUGCCAAUGACUUAUCCUUAGGAGUCAGACUGCGAGUGAUAAGAUCCGUAGUCAAAAGGGAAACAGCCCAGACCGCCAGCUAAGGUCCCAAAGUGUGUAUUAAGUGGAAAAGGAUGUGGAGUUGCUUAGACAACUAGGAUGUUGGCUUAGAAGCAGCCACCAUUUAAAGAGUGCGUAAUAGCUCACUAGUCGAGUGACUCUGCGCCGAAAAUGUACCGGGGCUAAAUACACCACCGAAGCUGCGGAUUGAUACCAAUGGUAUCAGUGGUAGGGGAGCGUUCUAAGGACAGUGAAGUCAGACCGGAAGGACUGGUGGAGUGCUUAGAAGUGAGAAUGCCGGUAUGAGUAGCGAAAGACGGGUGAGAAUCCCGUCCACCGAAUGCCUAAGGUUUCCUGAGGAAGGCUCGUCCGCUCAGGGUUAGUCAGGACCUAAGCCGAGGCCGACAGGCGUAGGCGAUGGACAACAGGUUGAUAUUCCUGUACCACCUCUUUAUCGUUUGAGCAAUGGAGGGACGCAGAAGGAUAGAAGAAGCGUGCGAUUGGUUGUGCACGUCCAAGCAGUUAGGCUGAUAAGUAGGCAAAUCCGCUUAUCGUGAAGGCUGAGCUGUGAUGGGGAAGCUCCUUAUGGAGCGAAGUCUUUGAUUCCCCGCUGCCAAGAAAAGCUUCUAGCGAGAUAAAAGGUGCCUGUACCGCAAACCGACACAGGUAGGCGAGGAGAGAAUCCUAAGGUGUGCGAGAGAACUCUGGUUAAGGAACUCGGCAAAAUGACCCCGUAACUUCGGGAGAAGGGGUGCUUUCUUAACGGAAAGCCGCAGUGAAUAGGCCCAAGCGACUGUUUAGCAAAAACACAGCUCUCUGCGAAGCCGUAAGGCGAAGUAUAGGGGGUGACACCUGCCCGGUGCUGGAAGGUUAAGGAGAGGGGUUAGCGUAAGCGAAGCUCUGAACUGAAGCCCCAGUAAACGGCGGCCGUAACUAUAACGGUCCUAAGGUAGCGAAAUUCCUUGUCGGGUAAGUUCCGACCCGCACGAAAGGUGUAACGAUUUGGGCACUGUCUCAACCAGAGACUCGGUGAAAUUAUAGUACCUGUGAAGAUGCAGGUUACCCGCGACAGGACGGAAAGACCCCGUGGAGCUUUACUGUAGCCUGAUAUUGAAUUUUGGUACAGUUUGUACAGGAUAGGCGGGAGCCAUUGAAACCGGAGCGCUAGCUUCGGUGGAGGCGCUGGUGGGAUACCGCCCUGACUGUAUUGAAAUUCUAACCUACGGGUCUUAUCGACCCGGGAGACAGUGUCAGGUGGGCAGUUUGACUGGGGCGGUCGCCUCCUAAAGUGUAACGGAGGCGCCCAAAGGUUCCCUCAGAAUGGUUGGAAAUCAUUCGUAGAGUGCAAAGGCAUAAGGGAGCUUGACUGCGAGACCUACAAGUCGAGCAGGGACGAAAGUCGGGCUUAGUGAUCCGGUGGUUCCGCAUGGAAGGGCCAUCGCUCAACGGAUAAAAGCUACCCCGGGGAUAACAGGCUUAUCUCCCCCAAGAGUCCACAUCGACGGGGAGGUUUGGCACCUCGAUGUCGGCUCAUCGCAUCCUGGGGCUGUAGUCGGUCCCAAGGGUUGGGCUGUUCGCCCAUUAAAGCGGUACGCGAGCUGGGUUCAGAACGUCGUGAGACAGUUCGGUCCCUAUCCGUCGUGGGCGUAGGAAAUUUGAGAGGAGCUGUCCUUAGUACGAGAGGACCGGGAUGGACGCACCGCUGGUGUACCAGUUGUUCUGUCAAGGGCAUAGCUGGGUAGCUAUGUGCGGAAGGGAUAAGUGCUGAAAGCAUCUAAGCAUGAAGCCCCCCUCAAGAUGAGAUUUCCCAUAGCGUAAGCUAGUAAGAUCCCUGAAAGAUGAUCAGGUUGAUAGGUUCGAGGUGGAAGCAUGGUGACAUGUGGAGCUGACGAAUACUAAUAGAUCGAGGACUUAACCAUAUAA